GACGAACGCUGGCGGCGUGCUUAACACAUGCAAGUCGAACGGUGAAGGGAUCAGCUUGCUGGCUCAGGAUGAGUGGCGAACGGGUGAGUAACACGUGAGUAACCUGCUCCCUUUUUCUGGAUAACCGCAUGAAAGAGUGGCCACUACGGGAUCUUCUGCGCUUGCUGCAUGGUGGGUGUGGGAACGAUAUUGUCUCGGUGGGGGAUGGGCUCGCGGCCUAUCAGCUUGUUGGUGGGGUGAUGGCCUACCAAGGCGGUGACGUGUAGCCGAUCUGAGAGGGGGGACGGUCACACUGGGACUGAGGCACAGCCCCGACUCGUACGGGGGGCAGGGGUGGGGAAGAUUACGCGCGGAGGGCAAGCCUGAUGCAGCGGCGCGGGGUGAGAGAGGGUGGCCUUCGGGUUGUGAUCCUCUUUCGCAAGAGAAGCAGGCCUGUACCUUGUGGGUGGGUUGACGGUAGCUAGAUAAGAAGCGCCGGCUAACUACGUG
This 489-nucleotide ribosomal RNA is filed under the name uncultured bacterium. Its description in RNAcentral is "partial 16S ribosomal RNA". It matches the Rfam family "Bacterial small subunit ribosomal RNA", at positions 28 to 507 of the family's 1533-position model. The record is from RNAcentral.